This 441-nucleotide ribosomal RNA is filed under the name uncultured bacterium. RNAcentral's name for it is "bacterial SSU rRNA". It matches the Rfam family "Bacterial small subunit ribosomal RNA", at positions 28 to 478 of the family's 1533-position model. The record is from RNAcentral.
GAUGAACGCUGGCGGCGUGCUUAACACAUGCAAGUCGAACGGGAUCCAGGCAGCUUGCUGCCUGGUGAGAGUGGCGAACGGGUGAGUAAUGCGUGACCGACCUGCCCCAUACACCGGAAUAGCUCCUGGAAACGGGUGGUAAUGCCGGAUGCUCCGACUCCUCGCAUGGGGUGUCGGGAAAGAUUUCAUCGGUAUGGGAUGGGGUCGCGUCCUAUCAGGUAGUCGGCGGGGUAACGGCCCACCGAGCCUACGACGGGUAGCCGGCCUGAGAGGGCGACCGGCCACAUUGGGACUGAGAUACGGCCCAGACUCCUACGGGAGGCAGCAGUGGGGAAUAUUGCACAAUGGGCGCAAGCCUGAUGCAGCGACGCCGCGUGCGGGAUGACGGCCUUCGGGUUGUAAACCGCUUUUGAUCGGGAGCAAGCCUUCGGGUGAGUGUAC